Molecule: ribosomal RNA, 537 nt
Filed under: Triticum aestivum (bread wheat)
Lineage: Eukaryota; Viridiplantae; Streptophyta; Magnoliopsida; Poales; Poaceae
Description: partial small subunit ribosomal RNA
Source: RNAcentral
AUGUCGUGCUUCAGAUUACCAAGGGGUCUCUGUGAAAGUAUCACGUCGAUUAUUCGACAAUCCUGGUGGGGUUCUAAGCAAGGGAAGAGGAAACCUAGCUGGGUAGCAUGGGAUAUCUUAACCAUGCCGAAGCAAUUGGGAGGUUUGGGUUUCCGAGACUUGGAAAUUUUCAACCUUGCAUUGUUAGCAAGGCAGGCACGCACACUCACAGAUGACACAUCUCUCAGCGCUCGAAUCCUCAAGGCAGUGUACUUCCCGGAAUGUUCUCUACUUCAAGCCAAACUUGGAGCACACCCGUCUCAGAUAUGGAGGGCAAUAUUGGAUGGGCGCGAUAUCCUAGCACAAGGUGUGGUGCGCAGAAUAGGAGAUGGUGCAUCGACGGAUAUAUGGCAACACAACUGGAUUCCUCGAGACAGUUUCAAGCGCCCUAUAACAUCUCUGGCGCCAAAUCCUCCUGAGAGAGUGGCACAACUCAUCGACAGUACUUCUGCUUGCUGGAACGAGGGCUUGGUUCGAACGGUGUUCACUCAUUUUUGA